Molecule: long non-coding RNA, 440 nt
Filed under: Ananas comosus (pineapple)
Lineage: Eukaryota; Viridiplantae; Streptophyta; Magnoliopsida; Poales; Bromeliaceae
Description: long non-coding RNA (ACOM_LNC040167)
Source: RNAcentral
AUGUAUUUCAAAUUUGGGUCUGUCGACAGACCCAUUUUUUAGCGGAAAAAAUAUUGAUUCCUCUUUCCGUACGUAAAAUAAAUAACAUAAUGAAACAAACUUUUCAUUUCUGUUAAUCUCUAAAAUAGAAAAAAAUAUAUUUAUUCAAAUUUUUGCCAACAGAAAGAUAUCUACUGUGAAUCUAUAUUUUAAUUAAAAAUUUAUUUAAUUUUUUAUCUUUAAAAUAGAAAAAUAUUAUGCUUAUCCAAAUUUUUGCCAGAAUAUCUACAAUAAAUCUAUAUUUCAAUUCAAAAUUUAAAAUUAAUUUAAAAUUUAAAAUUUUGGGACUAUCAAUAUAUUACAAUGAAAAUAAUUUAAAAGAUAGAUUGGUUGAUAAAUUUAUAAAUUGUGAGAUCCCUGAUGUUCUGCUGUGAAGGCUUGUCGACAGCUCUGGAGAGUGU